Monodelphis domestica (gray short-tailed opossum) is the source of this 747-nucleotide non-coding RNA. The record is from RefSeq and is a predicted model, not a curated record. NCBI's taxonomy places the organism in Eukaryota, Metazoa, Chordata, Mammalia, Didelphimorphia, Didelphidae.
GACAGAGCUGCUAUGAAAAUCUUUGAACAGAUAACUCAGUCUUUGUUUUGGAUGACACUUCAAAGUGUCGACUAAACAAGAGAAUUUGUGGAGGGAAUGUUUUCUAUCAACAAUGUGUAUCAAAGUGAUGUACAGAAUUUCCAGUAGAAAAACAAGAGCUCCAGUGAUAAUAUGAGAAGUCAAAGACCAGAAAAGAAUAAUCAAAAAGCCUGUCUUAUCCAAGUGCAAAUGCUAAAGUGUGUUCAGAGAACGUUCAUUUAUUCAACAUUCACUAAGAGGAGGCACUGACUUCUCAAAGGAGAUACAAAAAGAAAUAAGACAGUAGGACCUUGUUUAUGUGACCCAAAUAUUCCAAGACCCUUUAUGUAAGUUGGAAAUUGCAUAUAACAGUGAACCCCAUUAUUUGAUAAAUAUUUCUUAUAAGAACAUAUCCAGGCACUUUACCACUUUUCUCGGACCAAUCAGAACUACCAGCAUCACGACUCUUUUCCUUUGGGGCCAUUACUAAUAACUAAAUAGCUUUAAGGAAACAAAGAGAAGCAUUGCUCUGAGAGGACGUGUUACAAGUGACAACUCUGGACAAAGACUGAUGUGGGAACUAAUGUUUGGCACAAAACAAUGUGAUGACCCAUAGUGAGACUUCUCAGAAUGAGAAUGAGCAUGACUGUGUGAAUUGCUGCAAGACUUUACAUAGCUUGGAAGAAUGGCACAGAUUUAUUAUGUAGUUAAACCAUUUUCUCUUACAUA